This 62-nucleotide transfer RNA is filed under the name Temnothorax muellerianus. RNAcentral describes it as "tRNA-Leu". The record is from RNAcentral. Lineage: Eukaryota; Metazoa; Arthropoda; Insecta; Hymenoptera; Formicidae.
UAUGGCAGAUUAGUGCAUUGGACUUAAACCCCUCUUAUAAAGAAUUAAUUCUUUUAUUAAAA